This is a long non-coding RNA of Bubalus bubalis (water buffalo), 2028 nucleotides long. RefSeq lists it as uncharacterized. The transcript is spliced from 3 exons. NCBI's taxonomy places the organism in Eukaryota, Metazoa, Chordata, Mammalia, Artiodactyla, Bovidae. The record is from RefSeq and is a predicted model, not a curated record.
UCAGGGUAGAGAGAGAGAAAGAGGGAAAAAAAAGUUUUGCAGAAUCUGUUCCUGCUGAGUUGGAGAAUUCUUAACAUUCUAAAUCCUCUCUCUCCUUCUCUUUUUUGUCAUCUAUACCUCAGGCCAGUACAGGAACAAGCACCCUCAACACCAGCCUUCAUCACUUGGUGCAGAGAGCACUGGGAGGUGUGUAAUGUGGGCUCUUGUCCACUGGCCACCAAGCCCGAGGGAGACAGACUACGCAGAGCAUUUGACAUCUAAUAAGCCUAAUACAGAAUUGAUUAGGAUCAAACCUACACCCCCUGCACUGGAAGGCAAAGUCUUAACCACUGGACCACCGGGGAAGUCCCAGAGACAUCGCUAUUUCUGACUUUUACUUCAAAAUUUCUGAAAACCAAGGGAAGGUUUCAGGCUAAGACUCUUAAUUCUAGCCCAGCUUGUUGCUGCUGCAUUGUCGAGUUCCUCGUGGGUAACGGAGGCAGGAAUACUCUAGUGGCUGCCACCACAUGGGGAUAAUCAUCAAGAGCCAAAAAUAUUUUAAUUGCCUUGUAACCUCUCCUUAGCUGUGAAACAAGGUGGCCUUUAUAGCUACCCCCUGGAGAGACUAAACAAGGGGGCCAGAACUGUUUUGAAUGGAAAGCUAUAAAGUCCAAGCAUUUAAAAGGAGUGUUACUCUGUAAUCACCGUGGCUAUUUAUAGAGCUGGCCUCCAGGCUUACUGCCACACAGAGAACGCUUCUCUGAGACUGCACUUACCAUCUGACCUUGCUGAGGUUGAAGGUAAUGUCCUAGAGGGACCUGCAGUAGGAAGAAGCCUGGGUGGGCCCUGUGAUGUUGCAGUCACUCACCAAGGUUGCCCAGGAAGGGGACCAGGACUUGAACCCAGGUUGGAGACUUGUGCUGCACCAAGCCCUGUGAGGAGGAAGGCCACACGCACUGCUGAAAAUGAGAGAGCUGGUUCCAGUUCAAAGCCUUUCACCGACCUGAGCGCUCAGCCAGAAGUUCUGCAUCUGCAGCCCAUUAGCUCUCCCGAUAGCAUUUUGUUAUUCUCCUUGCAGCAGGAAAAACAAACAGCUGUCCCUCCCACAGUCUCUGCCUUCCUCCGAGGGUCGAAGAGGCUCUCCCCCAGGUGACCCCCUGCGACCCCAUUGAGUUCCUUCCUCUGCAGUGGCCUUGUCCUCCCAGUUGUCUAGUCUGGUCACCACCCUCCCGUUUCUGGCAGUUUCUGAUACUCCCCAUCCCCCUCUCCCUGUUCUGUCUCGCUUUUCCCAGGUCCUAGACCCAGCGCUUCACAAUGGAUGCCGGUUGCCAGUGAUUUCCACGUUUGCUUUCUCCCACAGCAUGUAGGACAUUCAUUGUGGGCCACUUUCAGCAUCACUGUCAGGGGGCAGCUUCAGCUUCAGGGAGGAGGUUGCAGGUGUGAUUUGGGGCUUUGGCUUCUCUCCCUGUAAUCUGCAUUGGAUCUCUCCCAAGCCAUCCCCAGCAGACAGAAUCAAUGUGGAGACUGUGUUCACAAUGCAGAUACAGCUCCCCUUUCAACCAGACUGCCAUCCUUAAGCUCCUAACUGGCACAGACUGGCGAUCUGGAAUGCUGCUUAGUUUUUGGCAUUGGGCUCUCUUGGAGGAAUUUAUUCCAAGACUAGAGUUGCCUAUAGGAAGUAAGCUAAUUUAGCACCUCCCUGGGUGAGCCACUCUUAGCUGCUUCUUCAUUCCUUUUUGUGAUGUCAAAGCAUGACCCAGGCCCAUUGAUUCCAGUGGUGUCCGAUAUGUAGCACUAGCCCUUUGUGGCUAAGUGAAAUAUGGUUGUUGUUAAUUGAGAUGUGCUGCAAGCAUAAAAUACACACUGUAUAUUGAAGACUUAGUAUCAGAUGAUAAAAAACAUUGUUAAUUACAUGUUGAAAUGUUAAUAUUUUAGAUAUACUUCAUUAAAAUAUCUUACUACUGUCAAAUUCACUUACCUCUUUUUACUUUUUAAAAUGUGCUACUAGAAAAUUUAGAAUUAUAUGUCACCUGCAUCAUAUUUAUUUCU